GAGUAUUUAUGCACACCCACAAUUUUUUUUCAUCUUCUUUUAUUUUUGUUUUCUUUAGUACCAAAUAAUCCACAAAAUCAUCUUACUCUUCAUUCAUUUUUUUUCCUAUUGGUUUCCCUAACUUUUUUUUCUUCUAGUUUUCUUUCUCAUUAAACAACCUACAAAAUUAUCCAGAUUUUCAAUCUCUUUUGUCUUUUCUUUUGAUUUCUUUCAAUUCCAAAAUCAAACAUACCAUCAAGGUAUUUUUCAGGUUGUGUGAGUGGUGGGAUAGUGAAGCAGAAGGUGUCCUACAAUGGUUAUUAUUAGAUAAUUUUACUCCACACACUAACCCAGUCAACGAACACAAGUCAAAACAGCGUCGCAUCCAAAUACACUCGACCGCAUCUCCGAACCCCCCCCUUAAAAUACGCGAUUCGAAUUCCCCACGCCACCUCUCCUCGCCGGAACAUCGUUGGAGAAUAAAUACGCCAUGUCAUCAUCCUUCAGAAUGUCUGGCCAGCCUUUCGAAGAUGGCGGCGCUUUGGCCGGCUACUCCCUCUCCAACUUCGACGCGGUCAAGGACUCCGCCGGUGACUCCUCCCCGAUUAUCGGUGGCGCGCCGUACAAUGCCGGUGGAGACUUCGUCUCCGCCUCCGAUCUACUCCGUCGCCGCGUUCUCGCCGGAGCAGAAUGGGAAGGGUGUGGAUGGUGGUUUCGGUGCCUCAGAUGGCCCGAUCUUGCCGCCUCCGACGGAUAUGGUUGCGAAGGAAGGGUUUGCUUUGAGAGAAUGGAGAAUGCAAAACGCGAUUCAAUUGGAGGAAAAGGAGAAGAAGGAGAAGGAGAUGCGGUCGCAGAUCAUAGAGGAAGCUGAAGAGUACAAAAUUGAGUUCUACAGAAAGCGUGAGGUUAAUGCUGAGAAAAACAAGGCUUCUAACAGGGAAAGAGAGAAGCUAUUUUUGGCAAGCCGGGAGAAGUUCCAUGCUGAAGCUGACAAAAAUUACUGGAAGACAAUCGGUGAACUCAUUCCGCACGAAGUGCCUGCGAUAGAGAAGAGAGGGAAAAAGGACAAAGUGAAGAAGCCUUCUAUUGCUGUAAUCCAGGGCCCAAAACCAGGGAAGCCAACUGAUCUUUCAAGAAUGCGCCAUAUAUUAUUGAAGCUCAAACAUAAUCUCCCUUCACAUAUGAAGCCCAAGCCUCCACCAUCAGAAACCAAAAAGGAUGCCAAAACUGGACCUCUUGAUGGAGCUAGCACAAGUUCUAAUCCUCCCAAGGUUGUGCCUGUGGCAAUUCCUGAGGCUGUUGCUGCAGCUUGAGGUUGAUGCUAUUUGAUAAAUCUGCAUGUGGAAAUCAGUAUGUCAAAUUGUAAUGGGUUAAUUUUUUUAUUUUUUAUCGAUAAAUAUUAAUUUGUUAGUCUUGUUAGAAAUGUCAGCGGGGAGAUUCGAACCCACGACCUUUUCCCCCACCCUUCUCCAACUACUAGGUCGAUCAUAUAUCUCCAUAAUGGGUUAAAAAGUCUGUGUCUUAGUGUAAUUACAUGUAGAAAUUACUUGUAUUGGUUUUUGUUGCUUAGUAUAUUGGUAUAUUCUCCUUAGAACUUAGUUUAGACUGCGAUCUGUGGCCUAUCUAUAUUGUCAUUGCAGUAGAUAGUUGUUAAUUGGCUUUGCUUUGUCCUUGAA
This is an RNA transcript of Glycine soja, 1655 nucleotides long. It is a transcript of the gene named clathrin light chain 2-like, with no coding region annotated. The transcript is spliced from 3 exons. The record is from RefSeq and is a predicted model, not a curated record. Lineage: Eukaryota; Viridiplantae; Streptophyta; Magnoliopsida; Fabales; Fabaceae.